GGAGGUGUGGCACAGUGGAUAAAGUCUUGGACUUUUAAGCUAAAGGUCCCAAGUUUGAGCCCUGGCAUCUCUU
This 73-nucleotide transfer RNA is filed under the name Erinaceus europaeus (western European hedgehog). It matches the Rfam family "tRNA". Rfam says of the family: Transfer RNA (tRNA) molecules are approximately 80 nucleotides in length. Their secondary structure includes four short double-helical elements and three loops (D, anti-codon, and T loops). The record is from Rfam by way of RNAcentral. Lineage: Eukaryota; Metazoa; Chordata; Mammalia; Eulipotyphla; Erinaceidae.